RNAcentral lists this ribosomal RNA (200 nucleotides) under uncultured bacterium. RNAcentral's name for it is "partial 16S ribosomal RNA". It matches the Rfam family "Bacterial small subunit ribosomal RNA", at positions 30 to 228 of the family's 1533-position model. The record is from RNAcentral.
AUUGAACGCUGGCGGAAUGCUUUACACAUGCAAGUCGAACGGCAGCACGGGAGCUUGCUCCUGGUGGCGAGUGGCGAACGGGUGAGUAACAUAUCGGAACGUAUCCAAUAAUGGGGGAUAACGAGUCGAAAGAUUCGCUAAUACCGCAUACGCCCUGAGGGGGAAAGCUGGGGAUCGUAAGACCUUGCACUAUUGGAAGA